UACGUAGGGGGCAAGCGUUUGUCCGGAUUUAUUGGGCGUAAAGAGCGUGUAGGCGGCCAUACAGGUCAGCUGUGAAAACUCGAGGCUCAACCUCGAGACGUCGGUUGAAACCGUAUGGCUAGAGUCCGGAAGAGGAGAGUGGAAUUCCCGGUGUAGCGGUGAAAUGCGCAGAUAUCGGGAAGAACACCCGUGGCGAAGGCGGCUCUCUGGGACGGUACUGACGCUGAGACGGCGAAAAGCGUUGGGGAGCGAACAGG
RNAcentral lists this ribosomal RNA (257 nucleotides) under uncultured bacterium. Its description in RNAcentral is "partial 16S ribosomal RNA". It matches the Rfam family "Bacterial small subunit ribosomal RNA", at positions 524 to 776 of the family's 1533-position model. The record is from RNAcentral.